AAUGCCCUACGGGGGGCAGCAGUGGAGAAUAUUGGUCAAUGGACGAGAGUCUGAACCAGCCACGUAGCGUGAAGGAUGACUGCCCUAUGGGUUGUAAACUUCUUUUAUAAAGGAAUAAAACGAGGCACGUGUGCCUUUUUGCAUGUACUUUAUGAAUAAGGAUCGGCUAACUCCGUGCCAGCAGCCGCGGUAAUACGGAGGAUCCGAGCGUUAUCCGGAUUUAUUGGGUUUAAAGGGAGCGUAGAUGGGUUGUUAAGUCAGUUGUGAAAGUUUGCGGCUCAACCGUAAAAUUGCAAUUGAUACUG
Molecule: ribosomal RNA, 305 nt
Filed under: uncultured bacterium
Lineage: Bacteria
Description: bacterial SSU rRNA
Rfam family: Bacterial small subunit ribosomal RNA
Source: RNAcentral